This 118-nucleotide ribosomal RNA is filed under the name Camarothorax sp. 2 CH-2014. RNAcentral describes it as "partial 16S ribosomal RNA". The record is from RNAcentral. Lineage: Eukaryota; Metazoa; Arthropoda; Insecta; Hymenoptera; Epichrysomallidae.
AAGAUUUUAAUAGUCGAACAGACUAAAUAUCUUAUAAUUUCUUCAUUAUUAAUUUAUCUUAAUUCAACAUCGAGGUCGCAAUCUUUUUUAUCAAUAAGAGCUUUCCAAAAAAAUUACG